GACGAACGCUGGCGGCGCGCUUAACACAUGCAAGUCGAACGGAAAGGCCUGCUUUCCCUUGUGGAUUGCGGGUACUCGAGUGGCGAACGGGUGAGUAACACGUGAGUGAUCUGCCCCCAACUUGGGUAUAAGCCUGGGAAACUGGGUCUAAUUCCCGAUAGGACUGCAGGGUGGUGCCUGUGGUGGAAAACGAUUUUCUAGUGGUUGGGGAUGAGCUCGCGGCCUAUCAGCUUGUUGGUGGGGUAAUGGCCUACCAAGGCGGCGACGGGUAGCCGGCCUGAGAGGGUGGACGGCCAGAUUGGGACUGAGAUACGGCCCAGACUGCUACGGGAGGCAGCAGUGGGGAAUAGUGCACAAUGGGCGGAAGCCUGAUGCAGCGACGCCGCGUGGGGGAUGACGGCCUUCGGGUUGUAAACUCCUUUCGACCGCGAGGAAGCCACCUGGUUGGAAGGGUGGUGACGGUAGUGGUAGAAGAAGCACCGGCUAACUACGUG
Molecule: ribosomal RNA, 494 nt
Filed under: uncultured bacterium
Lineage: Bacteria
Description: partial 16S ribosomal RNA
Rfam family: Bacterial small subunit ribosomal RNA
Source: RNAcentral